RNAcentral lists this ribosomal RNA (1493 nucleotides) under Candidatus Yanofskybacteria bacterium GW2011_GWC1_48_11. RNAcentral's name for it is "bacterial LSU rRNA". It matches the Rfam family "Bacterial large subunit ribosomal RNA", at positions 1123 to 2906 of the family's 2925-position model. The record is from RNAcentral. Lineage: Bacteria; Candidatus Yanofskyibacteriota.
UUAAAAAGUGCGUAACAGCUUACUAGCUAAGGGAUUCUGCGCCGAAAAUUUAUCGGGGCUAAGUUGAAUACCGAAGAUAAGGAUGCCGCCGCAAGGCGGGGUGGAGCGAUGAGGAGUGAGAGUGCUGGGAUGAGUAACCACAACCAGGGUGAGAGCCCCUGGCACCGAAAACCUGAGGUUUCCUUGGCAAUGAUAAUCAUCCAAGGGUUAGGCGGGCCUUAGGGAGAUAUCAAAUGGUAUCUUCUGAUGGACAGCCGGUUCAUAUUCCGGCCCCCCGCACUUUUCCGAAGAGCGACGCGACUUGGGACUCCGAGCGGAUUAUUGGAUUUCCGUUUCCGCAAGGACGAAGUCAGGACUACGGUUCUGGCGACUCGGACGAACAAGGAGCCCAGAAAAACUCUGAGGUUAUGAAGUGUUGGGUCCGUACCGCAAACCGACACAGGUGGGUUAGUAUAAAUGUACUAAGGUGAACGGGUGAAAGCUCCUGAAGGAACUAGGCAAAAAAGUGUCCGAAAGUAUCCCUGGCGACUGUUUACCAAAAACACAGGUCUCUGCUCAACUCCAAAAGAGGAUGUAUAGGGGCUGACGCCUGACCAGUGCUGGAGUGUUAAAGGUGGCGGUUUUACCGCAAGGUAAGGCUGACUGCCCGAAGCCCCAGUGAACGUCCGCGGUAACUAUAACCGUGUUAAAGUAGCGUAAUCUCUUGCCUGGUAAGUUCAGGCCCGCACGAAAGGCGUCACGACUUGGGAACUGUCUCCAGGAGCUGCCCGGUGAAAAUGCAAUACCGGUGAAGAUGCCGGUUACCUGCGGCUAGACGGAAAGACCCCGGGAGCUUUACUGUAGCUUCUUAUUGUUUUAUCGUUUUGCAUGCGUAGCAUAGUGGGGAGGCUUUGAAGUCCGCCUUUCGGGGCGGGUGGAGCCAACAGUGAAAUACCCAUCUUGCGAAAUGAUAAAUCUAAUCCGCCUUGGGCGGAGACAGUGGGAGGCGGUCAGUUUUAGUGGGGCGCUAGCCUCCUAAAGAGUAGCGGAGGCGUUUAAAGGUCAGCUAGCUCCGGAUGGAAAUCGGAGCGGUCGUGUAAAGGCACAAGCUGGCUUAACUGCGAGACGGAUAUGUCGAGCAGAUGGGAAACCAGAACGGCUCAUCUUAUCCUGGGGCUGAAGAAGGUCCCAAGGGUCUGGCUGUUCGCCAGUUAAAAAGGUACGUGAGCUGGGUUCAAACCGUCGUGAGACAGGUUGGUCCCUUUCUACCGCAGGCGUCGAGUCUUGAGGAGAUUUAUCUCUAGUACGAGAGGACCGAGAUGAACGAACCUCUGGUGUACCAGUUGUCGUGCCAACGGCAUCGCUGGGUAGCUAUGUUCGGCUAGGAUAAGCGCUGAAAGCAUCUAAGCGCGAAGCCAACUCCAAGAUGAGGACUCAAAGAUCCCUCCGAGAUGAGGAGGUUGAUAGGCUCCAGAUGUAAGUCCCGCAAGGGAUUCAGUCGAGGAGUACUAAUG